AUUGAACGCUGGCGGCAGGCCUAACACAUGCAAGUCGAGCGGAUGAAGGGAGCUUGCUCCUGGAUUCAGCGGCGGACGGGUGAGUAAUGCCUAGGAAUCUGCCUGGUAGUGGGGGAUAACGUCCGGAAACGGGCGCUAAUACCGCAUACGUCCUGAGGGAGAAAGUGGGGGAUCUUCGGACCUCACGCUAUCAGAUGAGCCUAGGUCGGAUUUGCUAGUUGGUGGGGUAAAGGCCUACCAAGGCGACGAUCCGUAACUGGUCUGAGAGGAUGAUCAGUCACACUGGAACUGAGACACGGUCCAGACUCCUACGGGAGGCAGCAGUGGGGAAUAUUGGACAAUGGGCGAAAGCCUGCUCCAGCCAUGCCGCGUGUGUGAAGAAGGUCUUCGGAUUGUAAAGCACUUUAAGUUGGGAGGAAGGGCAGUAAGUUAAUACCUUGCUGUUUUGACGUUACCAACAGAAUAAGCACCGGCUAACUUCGUG
Molecule: ribosomal RNA, 484 nt
Filed under: uncultured bacterium
Lineage: Bacteria
Description: partial 16S ribosomal RNA
Rfam family: Bacterial small subunit ribosomal RNA
Source: RNAcentral